AGUUUGAUCCUGGCUCAGAAUGAACGCUGUCUGCAUGGAUUAGGCAUGCANGUCGAACGAAAACUUUUUUACUGAUCCUUCGGGUGAAGUAAUUGAGCGAAAGUGGCAAAAGGGUGAGUAACGCGUGAGCAACCUGCCUCUAUGUCGGGGACAACAGUUGGAAACGACUGCUAAUACCGGAUGUGGCUUCUUAACCGCAUGUUUUAGAAGCUAAAGAUUUAUUGCAUAGAGAUGGGCUCGCGUUCCAUUAGCUAGUUGGUGAGGUAAUGGCUCACCAAGGCGACGAUGGAUAGGUGGUCUGAGAGGACGAUCACCCACACUGGGACUGAGACACUGCCCAGACUCCUACGGGAGGCUGCAGUCGAGAAUCUUCCGCAAUGCGCGAAAGCGUGACGGAGCAAUGCAGAGUGUGUGAUGAAGGCUUUCGGGUCGUAAAGCACUGUCAACAGGGACGAAUAAAAUGACGGUACCUGUAGAGGAAGCACCGGCUAAAUACGUGCCAGCAGCCGCGGUAAUACGUAUGGUGCAAGCGUUAUUCGGAUUUAUUGGGCGUAAAGGGUCCGUAGGUGGUUUAUUAAGUCAGAUGUGAAAUCCAACGGCUCAACCGUUGAACUGCAUUUGAAACUGAUAAACUAGAGUAUUGGAGAGGUAAGUGGAAUUUCAGGUGUAGCGGUGGAAUGCGUAGAUAUCUGAAGGAACACCNAAAGCGAANGCAGCUUACUGG
Molecule: ribosomal RNA, 724 nt
Filed under: uncultured bacterium
Lineage: Bacteria
Description: bacterial SSU rRNA
Rfam family: Bacterial small subunit ribosomal RNA
Source: RNAcentral